UGACGUGUAGCUCAACCGGCAGAGCAGGCGGCUGUUAACCGCCCGGUUGGAGGUUCGAGUCCUCCCUCGUCAG
This 73-nucleotide transfer RNA is filed under the name Mycobacterium phage Severus. It matches the Rfam family "tRNA". From Rfam's summary of the family: Transfer RNA (tRNA) molecules are approximately 80 nucleotides in length. Their secondary structure includes four short double-helical elements and three loops (D, anti-codon, and T loops). Further hydrogen bonds mediate the characteristic L-shaped molecular structure. tRNAs have two regions of fundamental functional importance: the anti-codon, which is responsible for specific mRNA codon recognition, and the 3' end, to which the tRNAs corresponding amino acid is attached (by aminoacyl-tRNA synthetases). tRNAs cope with the degeneracy of the genetic code in two manners: having more than one tRNA (with a specific anti-codon) for a particular amino acid; and 'wobble' base-pairing, i.e. permitting non-standard base-pairing at the 3rd anti-codon position. Lineage: Duplodnaviria; Heunggongvirae; Uroviricota; Caudoviricetes. The record is from Rfam by way of RNAcentral.